This 421-nucleotide ribosomal RNA is filed under the name uncultured eukaryote. RNAcentral's name for it is "SSU rRNA". It matches the Rfam family "Eukaryotic small subunit ribosomal RNA", at positions 567 to 990 of the family's 1831-position model. The record is from RNAcentral.
CCAGCACCUGCGGUAAUUCCAGCUCCAAUAGCGUAUAUUAAAGUUGUUGCAGUUAAAAAGCUCGUAGUUGGAUUUCUGGCAGGAGCGUCCGGUCUCACACUCAGUGCGGGAACUUGGAUGUCUCUGGCCAUCUUUGGGGAUAUCCUGUUUGGCAUUAAGUUGUCGGGCAGGGGAUACCCAUCGUUUACUGUGAAAAAAUUAGAGUGUUUAAAGCAGGCUUAUGCCGUUGAAUAUAUUAGCAUGGAAUAAUAAGAUAGGACUUUGGUACUAUUUUGUUGGUUUGUGCACCAGAGUAAUGAUUAAUAGGGACAGUUGGGGUCGUUUAUAUUCCGUUGUCAGAGGUGAAAUUCUUGGAUUUACGGAAGAUAAACUUCUGCGAAAGCAUUCGGCAAGGAUGUUUUCAUUGAUCAAGAACGAAAGU